This 397-nucleotide ribosomal RNA is filed under the name uncultured bacterium. RNAcentral's name for it is "partial 16S ribosomal RNA". It matches the Rfam family "Bacterial small subunit ribosomal RNA", at positions 523 to 918 of the family's 1533-position model. The record is from RNAcentral.
AUACGUAGGGGGCGAGCGUUGUCUGGAAUGAUUGGGCGUAAAGGGCGCGUAGGCGGCCGCUUAAGUCUGGAGUGAAAGUCCUGUUUUCAAGAUGGGAAUUGCUUUGGAUACUGGGGGGCUUGAGUGCAGGAGAGGUUAUCGGAAUUCCCGGUGUAGCGGUGAAAUGCGUAGAGAUCGGGAGGAACACCAGUGGCGAAGGCGGGUAACUGGACUGCAACUGACGCUGAGGCGCGAAAGUGUGGGGAGCAAACAGGAUUAGAUACCCUGGUAGUCCACACUGUAAACGAUGAAUGCUAGGUGUAAGAGGUAUCGACCCCUUUUGUGCCGGAGUCAACACAAUAAGCAUUCCGCCUGGGGAGUACGGCCGCAAGGUUGAAACUCAAAGGAAUUGACGGGG